RNAcentral lists this transfer RNA (27 nucleotides) under Kinixys belliana belliana. Its description in RNAcentral is "partial transfer RNA-Leu". The record is from RNAcentral. Lineage: Eukaryota; Metazoa; Chordata; Testudines; Testudinidae.
CUUUUAAAGGAUAGAAGCAAUCCACUG